Molecule: ribosomal RNA, 1753 nt
Filed under: Salmonella enterica
Lineage: Bacteria; Pseudomonadati; Pseudomonadota; Gammaproteobacteria; Enterobacterales; Enterobacteriaceae
Also listed under: 1 other name
Description: partial 23S ribosomal RNA
Rfam family: Bacterial large subunit ribosomal RNA
Source: RNAcentral
GGUGCUAACGUCCGUCGUGAAGAGGGAAACAACCCAGACCGCCAGCUAAGGUCCCAAAGUCAUGGUUAAGUGGGAAACGAUGUGGGAAGGCCCAGACAGCCAGGAUGUUGGCUUAGAAGCAGCCAUCAUUUAAAGAAAGCGUAAUAGCUCACUGGUCGAGUCGGCCUGCGCGGAAGAUGUAACGGGGCUAAACCAUGCACCGAAGCUGCGGCAGCGACACUGUGUGUUGUUGGGUAGGGGAGCGUUCUGUAAGCCUGUGAAGGUGUGUCGUGAGGCAUGCUGGAGGUAUCAGAAGUGCGAAUGCUGACAUAAGUAACGAUAAAGCGGGUGAAAAGCCCGCUCGCCGGAAGACCAAGGGUUCCUGUCCAACGUUAAUCGGGGCAGGGUGAGUCGACCCCUAAGGCGAGGCCGAAAGGCGUAGUCGAUGGGAAACGGGUUAAUAUUCCCGUACUUGGUGUUACUGCGAAGGGGGGACGGAGAAGGCUAUGUUGGCCGGGCGACGGUUGUCCCGGUUUAAGCGUGUAGGUGUGUGUUCCAGGUAAAUCCGGUUCACUUUAACACUGAGGCGUGACGACGAGGCACUACGGUGCUGAAGCAACAAAUGCCCUGCUUCCAGGAAAAGCCUCUAAGCAUCAGGUAACAUCAAAUCGUACCCCAAACCGACACAGGUGGUCAGGUAGAGAAUACCAAGGCGCUUGAGAGAACUCGGGUGAAGGAACUAGGCAAAAUGGUGCCGUAACUUCGGGAGAAGGCACGCUGACACGUAGGUGAAGUGAUUUACUCAUGGAGCUGAAGUCAGUCGAAGAUACCAGCUGGCUGCAACUGUUUAUUAAAAACACAGCACUGUGCAAACACGAAAGUGGACGUAUACGGUGUGACGCCUGCCCGGUGCCGGAAGGUUAAUUGAUGGGGUCAGCGCAAGCGAAGCUCCUGAUCGAAGCCCCGGUAAACGGCGGCCGUAACUAUAACGGUCCUAAGGUAGCGAAAUUCCUUGUCGGGUAAGUUCCGACCUGCACGAAUGGCGUAAUGAUGGCCAGGCUGUCUCCACCCGAGACUCAGUGAAAUUGAACUCGCUGUGAAGAUGCAGUGUACCCGCGGCAAGACGGAAAGACCCCGUGAACCUUUACUAUAGCUUGACACUGAACAUUGAGCCUUGAUGUGUAGGAUAGGUGGGAGGCUUUGAAGCGUGGACGCCAGUCUGCGUGGAGCCGACCUUGAAAUACCACCCUUUAAUGUUUGAUGUUCUAACGUGGACCCGUGAUCCGGGUUGCGGACAGUGUCUGGUGGGUAGUUUGACUGGGGCGGUCUCCUCCUAAAGAGUAACGGAGGAGCACGAAGGUUGGCUAAUCCUGGUCGGACAUCAGGAGGUUAGUGCAAUGGCAUAAGCCAGCUUGACUGCGAGCGUGACGGCGCGAGCAGGUGCGAAAGCAGGUCAUAGUGAUCCGGUGGUUCUGAAUGGAAGGGCCAUCGCUCAACGGAUAAAAGGUACUCCGGGGAUAACAGGCUGAUACCGCCCAAGAGUUCAUAUCGACGGCGGUGUUUGGCACCUCGAUGUCGGCUCAUCACAUCCUGGGGCUGAAGUAGGUCCCAAGGGUAUGGCUGUUCGCCAUUUAAAGUGGUACGCGAGCUGGGUUUAGAACGUCGUGAGACAGUUCGGUCCCUAUCUGCCGUGGGCGCUGGAGAACUGAGGGGGGCUGCUCCUAGUACGAGAGGACCGGAGUGGACGCAUCACUGGUGUUCGGGUUGUCAUGCC